AUUUCAAAUUAGGACAAUAACAUUUUUAUUUAAAUUCAAUUAUUUUUUGUUGUUGUUCCACUUUUGAUUAUAAAAAUUCUACAAAUAGAAAUGACGUUAGUGUGACGUUAGAUGAGUCGAUAAAUCAACUCGGUAGUCAGCAGCAGCCUGGUUCCUACUCUGUAAUUAUGUGGGGAGAGGUAUGUAACAUUAGGACGGUCGUAAAAUCUGGUCGGUUGACUCCGGAAGGAAACGCACUAACUUCCGGAAUGAUUUCAACUCUGAAUAACACCUGACGAACAGUAUAAAGGGGGGAAGUGAUGAUUCGCUGUCGAUAGCGAACGAACGAUGACUACGACGACGGACACGGAAAUGAUAUGCAAACACCUUCAACGCCAGCCCAAGAGAGGAAGGGUGUACCUGUAUAAUUAGACGACGUGUGGUGUGUGUGGCAGCAAUUCAUUCCGUCCAAUCCUCUUCCGUACACGUACACAACCAACCCCCUACAAGGAACGCCCUCGCGUCAGUCGCGACUAAAACAAAAUCCGGAAGGUAUUACGUUGGUCGAAAGGUGAAAGAUCCGGAUACUUCCGAUCCUUCCUGUCCAGGUUUAUUUUAUCAUCAUAUCAUCAAGUCGACAUAAAAAUUAAUUAUUUGGAAUUUUUAUUUUUAAUGUUUCUUCUUCUUCUUCUACGAAUUCUAUCAUGAAGAAAAUGAAAUUUUUGUUUUUUCUUGUUUAAUUCCCUGGAAAUUAGAAAGCCCCCCUCGACAAGAAAGCCCAUUGUCUUUAUUACUGGCGCCAUCCAUCCAUCCGCAUCCAUCCGGGAAUUUCCCAUCUCUCUCUCUUCUUCUUCUUCUUCUUCUUUUCUAAAUCAAGAAAUUCCUGAUUGGCGGCGGCGAUGGUAGUAGUGGCUGGCGGAGAAUUUUUUACCCCGAAAAAAUUUUACUUAAUAAAAAAAAAAAAACGAAGAAUUUUCCAAAACCUUUUUACUUCACCCACCCCCAGGAAAAAAAAAUCCACCGGAAUAAAAAAAAAAAAAUUCCCCAAAAUGAUUUCGAUUCAAAAUUAUUUUUAUUUAUUUUUCCUUGAGGACAAAGAAAUCGGGACAAACUAGCAAUCCGUAAACGAUAGAAAAAUAAAGGGCCCCACCCGGUGACUCCACCCCCAAUUUGAAAUGUGUUGCAUAUCCUGUUGCGCAAUCUACUUUUUUUUUUGACUCAUUUUUGUUCGAACGGCAAACAAUUGAAGAACGUCCAACACAAAAACAGUUGAGUCUACACCCUUCCUUCCUGUUUGUCACGGCCGGAUGAUGCUCGAGAAUCGUCACGGGACAACCAGCAAAAACUUAUUUACCAAAAAAUGUAAAAGUUAAAAACGAAAUGGCUCGUUUAUAAUCAUCGACAAUGUUUGGUGUCCAAUUUGACUUUUUUUUUUUUAAAUAAUAAUAUUGUUGUUAAAAGGUGAAUUUCAGCACCUCUUUUUUAAAUAAUAAUAACCAAUUGUCCUUGCCAUCGGGUCGAGAUGGGAAUUCGUCCCAGCCCCCCCCCCCCCCCAAAAAAAAAAGGUCUUAAAAAGACGAUAGGCUGGCCGACCCCGGGGUCUGAUGAUGAGAGGGUAAAAGGUAUUGUACUCGGUAGACCUAUACAUAUAUAGAGCCUCUUUGAUUUCUAUUUUAUUUUUAUUUUUUUCCACCUUUUUUUCUUCAUUGUAUCAAAGAAGCCAGAGCCGAGGCGACGAAACCCCGUCGAGUGUCUGGCGCCGAGGAUAUAGUCUCUGCGUGUGUACUAUGUAUAUGUACAUACACAGAGAGACAGUGGAAAAACGGAUGGAUUCUUUAUAAGGCCAGACAAUAAUGGAAUGAAGUUUCCCAUUUUUAAAUUGUAAAUUCUAAGUCAUUCCGCCAAACUGACUAGACGACGACAACUUUGCCUUUUUGAGCUGCACUGCUGAACUGUGGCGACAAACUCAUCCGCUUUUGUCCGGCUUCCAAAUCCCCCAGGUGUCAAAACAACAGAGAAACGGGCCGACCGGUUUUCUUUAAAUUUUCUUACAUUCAAUUUUUUGGGGAAAUGUAUAAAUUUAUAGUGAUAUUCAAAUUCUUAGCCGCGGUCGGAUGUGAAUUCAACAAAUCUCUUGAAUGGUUCAAAAAGGAGAAGAAGAUUCCGAGGAAUUUUCUCUCUAUAGAAAAAGUUUAACACGGAAUUUUUAUUUUCAUCCGGCCCGGGUGACAGCUGACUAACGAUAUAGGCUUUUUAACACGCAGCCAGAGGGGGGUUAUACUGUAUGUACAUAUAUAUACGUGUAUAGUAUAGUAUAGUAUAGAGGGAAUGCAGCUAUUGUAUUGUUGUAAUACAAUUUUUUACUUUGGGGAUAUAACACAGAGCCACGUAUGGAAGGUAAACGCCUAAAUGGGGGCGACACGGAUCAACCUAUUUGUAUGAGGCUCUUAUAUAGGGGCGCAAUAUACAAUACAUUCCAUUGCGUAUUUCUAUCUAUCUAUUAUUCAACGUCGCCUAUUGAAAAAAUAAGAAAAAAAGAAUUUCUUCUCUUCUUUGACGUUUGAAUUUUCGCGCGCUAAAUGUUUUCUAGCGACAAUCAUUUGACCAGAUGCUAAUUUGGUCAUCUGGUCAAAAGUUAAACGAAAUGGCCACUUCUUUUCUUGUAGAGUUUCAAUUUUUGCUUUUUAAAAAAGGGUGUUGGGUUACAUUUGAAACUUGUCUCGGUGUUUCCCCCAUAAUAAAAGACGCACACAUCUGUCUUGUCUCUUGUCUUGUUCGUUUUUGAACACGUCUGGAACACACAUGCUAUUAUUGACUUAUAUUUUAUUUUAUUUUAAUUUUUAUGUUUUUUCUUGACUCGACCAGAGGAAUCACAAACAUUUCUUUCUUGGUUGUUUUUCUGCUAUUUCACGGAGUUGUACUACACCACCUGCGUUAUUACAGAAUGUUGUUGUUGUUGUUGCGGCGCAUUAUUCAAAUGAGGAGAGAUGGUUACAAGGACUUUGACGAGAGGGUGGUCGCUUUAAAUAUUU
This is a long non-coding RNA of Daphnia pulicaria, 3011 nucleotides long. RefSeq lists it as uncharacterized. NCBI's taxonomy places the organism in Eukaryota, Metazoa, Arthropoda, Branchiopoda, Diplostraca, Daphniidae. The transcript is spliced from 2 exons. The record is from RefSeq and is a predicted model, not a curated record.